This is a long non-coding RNA of Dreissena polymorpha, 2487 nucleotides long. RefSeq lists it as uncharacterized. NCBI's taxonomy places the organism in Eukaryota, Metazoa, Mollusca, Bivalvia, Myida, Dreissenidae. The record is from RefSeq and is a predicted model, not a curated record. The transcript has 6 exons.
AGCAGGACAACAUCUGAAGAAAGGGCGUGGUACUUUUAAUAACAUUUCUCUGGAGCAUUUGGGUAAUUACGUUGACUUCAAACGGUGCUGCCCAGGCUGCAGAGUCCCUGUUGCAAGCUUAAAGGGUUGGUGUCUACGGAAGUCGUGUAAGGUGGUGGACGUUUUACCUAGGGCCUUGGGGUGACAAAUAGCUAAAGCUUCAUUGAAUGCAACGGUUCCCUGUUUGUCGCACUAUAUAAAUAGCGGCAGCGAUGGACAAGAACACGGAAAUAUACGGGAUGUCAUGUAUACCAGACAUGGCGCAUGGGGAAAAGGAGAAGAGGCAGUUGAACAAACGGGAAGAAAACGCUGGACUGAUCUGUGAAAUUGCCGAGUUGUGUAAUCGGUUUGAAAACUGUGGAAUUGAGAAGUACGAGCUGCAUGGUUUACAGAAAGAAGCAUUUUCCAAUAUUCUGCAUAAGUUGCCUAACAUUAUAGACGUACCCGGAACAUAGGCGAGUUACUCGAGGCAGUUUUUGGAGGAUUCAUUCCUCCCGGAACAUCGGUUAAGUACUUACAAAAGUUGCAGAAAGACUACGGUGUAGGCUGCCUUAAGAAAAUGUACCCGAAACAUAGCAAGGAAUGGACGGUAACAAGAGUUGUGUUUGUUGAAAGUGCCUCUCAAUCUCUGCUGAGCGCAUUAGUCAAUAUCGUCCACAAUUUAUUAGAAUCUCACGACGAGGCAACAGGUUAUUUCAAAUACGAUAUUGACCUGUUCGUAGUCAUCACAAAAUGUGAUCUGAUUGAAGGAUGCAACACGUCUCUAACGACAUCGGGUUCGAACUUGAUUAAACACGACAAGUUUAAGGCGAUGGAGAAUGAAGUUGCCAAAGAGUUUAGAAUAGGCGGUGCUAUGGAACACAGCAGCAUUCGUUGGCAGAGCUACGUGGACGGCCGAUGUUUGGACGAUCCGCACAUCGACAACACAGCUUUCAAGUUUGUGAAGCAGAUGAUUCAACCGAGACGAAGAAAACAUCAGGUUGAGUCUCAUAAAAUACCUGUGCUUACAACUCAAAGGAUGCUUUUAAUUGAACUUAGAAAUAUGAAUGUAGAACUGAAGCGUGUGGUAUUCAUCGGUAUUUUGGUCGUUUUGUAUAUUGUCUAUAAAUGGCUUACAAAAACCGUUUAAACGGCUGAUUUGAAAGACUUACAAUAACCAACACAAGACCAAAAGCGUUUCUUUUUUCAAUAUAUUGUGCUUUCUAAUAGAUGUUUCAAUGCCGAAAAAGAUGUAUAUACGGUAAUAGUAUUCAAUGAAUUAAAUAAAUGUAUUACUCUUAUUUUAUAAUGGUUUUAAGGGUUAAUAAUGUGACAAUUAAUUGACAGAUGUAUUUCUGUUGUUUUUAUGAUACUUUUAUUGAGGUUAAACAAACAACCAUGUAUGGAUACAUGUAUUACUGUUGUUUUAUGAUUUUUUUCAUUGAGUUUUAGCAUUCGACAAUUCCUCGAUACAUGUAUCGCUUUAUUUUUAUGGUGUUUUGUGUAGGUUAAACAUUUGACACUUAAUGGAUGAUGUUAUUUGUUAUGAUGUUUUAAUUUAGGGUAAACAUUCGACAAUGAACGGAUACAUGUUUGUUUUUUUAAUGUUUUAUUGAGGUUCGAAAUCCGACGAUGAAUGGAGACCUGUAUUGCUGUUAUUUUCAUGAUUAUUUCAUUGACGCUAAACAUAAGACAAUUUAUGAGGAUUAGACACAUGUAAAGUUGAACAACGUUAUUUAUUAAGUGUACAUGUAUAGGUAAUGACAUUUGAUAUGACACGCAUCAUGCGAUCAUGGGUCAUAUGUCAUAUUUGGCCUGCAAAACUGCAGCACAGCCUGUUCAAUCGCACCGUCUGGUCGGCAAGGUUUCGUGGUCUCAUAAACGGACAGAUAAGCCUCUUACCAGACAGCACAAAUGCGCAGACUGUUCUUUAGCAACGCUGACCGCAUAUGGAAUAAGACGCAUUUUUGGAUGAUCCGGCUUAUUUUUCAGAAUCAAUUUACAUUAUUCAUGGAACGGAUUCUGUCAAAUGAAACUUGACACAUUGGCAACCCUUUAUAUCGGCUACAUGUGUUCAUGGCAUGUAAUAACCUUUGCCAAUAUGUUAGCAACUUCUGUGGAUACCAUUAUGAAACGUGUGUGUGUGUGUGUGUGUGUGUGUGUGUGUGUGUGUGUGUGUGUGUGUGUGUGUGUGUGUGUGUGUGUGUGUGUGUGUGUGUGUGUGUGUGUGUGUGUGUGUGUGUGUGUGUGUGUGUGUGUGUGUGUGUGUGCGGGGUGUGCGGGUGUGUGUGUGUGUGUGUGUGUGUGUUUGUGUGUGUGUGUGUGUGUGUGUGUGUGUGUGUGUGUGUGUGUGUGUGUGUGUGUGUGUGUGUGUGUGUGUGUGUGUGUGUGUGUGUGUGUGUGUGUGUGUGUGUGUGUGUGUGUGUGUGUGUGUGUGUGUGUGUGUGUGUGUGUGUGUGUGUGUGUGUG